This 388-nucleotide ribosomal RNA is filed under the name uncultured bacterium. Its description in RNAcentral is "bacterial SSU rRNA". It matches the Rfam family "Bacterial small subunit ribosomal RNA", at positions 28 to 420 of the family's 1533-position model. The record is from RNAcentral.
GACGAACGCUGGCGGCGUGCUUAACACAUGCAAGUCGAGCGGUAAGGCCCUUCGGGUACACGAGCGGCGAACGGGUGAGUAACACGUGGGUGACCUGCCCUCAGCUCUGGGAUAAGCCUGGGAAACCGGGUCUAAUACCGGAUAUGACUCCAUGACGCAUGUUGUGGGGUGGAAAGCCUUGUGCGGCUGAGGAUGGGCCCGCGGCCUAUCAGCUUGUUGGUGGGGUGAUGGCCUACCAAGGCGACGACGGGUAGCCGGCCUGAGAGGGCGACCGGCCACACUGGGACUGAGACACGGCCCAGACUCCUACGGGAGGCAGCAGUGGGGAAUCUUGCGCAAUGGGCGAAAGCCUGACGCAGCGACGCCGCGUGAGGGAUGACGGCCUGGU